RNAcentral lists this ribosomal RNA (489 nucleotides) under uncultured Pseudoalteromonas sp. Its description in RNAcentral is "bacterial SSU rRNA". It matches the Rfam family "Bacterial small subunit ribosomal RNA", at positions 30 to 506 of the family's 1533-position model. The record is from RNAcentral. Lineage: Bacteria; Pseudomonadati; Pseudomonadota; Gammaproteobacteria; Alteromonadales; Pseudoalteromonadaceae.
AUUGAACGCUGGCGGCAGGCCUAACACAUGCAAGUCGAGCGGUAACAGAGAGUAGCUUGCUACUCUGCUGACGAGCGGCGGACGGGUGAGUAAUGCUUGGGAAUAUGCCUUAUGGUGGGGGACAACAGUUGGAAACGACUGCUAAUACCGCAUGAUGUCUACGGACCAAAGUGGGGGACCUUCGGGCCUCACGCCAUAAGAUUAGCCCAAGUGGGAUUAGCUAGUUGGUGAGGUAAUGGCUCACCAAGGCGACGAUCCCUAGCUGGUUUGAGAGGAUGAUCAGCCACACUGGGACUGAGACACGGCCCAGACUCCUACGGGAGGCAGCAGUGGGGAAUAUUGCACAAUGGGCGCAAGCCUGAUGCAGCCAUGCCGCGUGUGUGAAGAAGGCCUUCGGGUUGUAAAGCACUUUCAGUAAGGAGGAAAGGUUAAGUGUUAAUAGCACUUAGCUGUGACGUUACUUACAGAAGAAGCACCGGCUAACUCCGU